Molecule: ribosomal RNA, 497 nt
Filed under: uncultured bacterium
Lineage: Bacteria
Description: partial 16S ribosomal RNA
Rfam family: Bacterial small subunit ribosomal RNA
Source: RNAcentral
GCCGCCCUCUUUCUUCGUGCCUAAUACAUGCAAGUCGAGCGAACAGACGAGGAGCUUGCUCCUCUGACGUUAGCGGCGGACGGGUGAGUAACACGUGGAUAACCUACCUAUAAGACUGGGAUAACUUCGGGAAACCGGAGCUAAUACCGGAUAAUAUAUUGAACCGCAUGGUUCAAUAGUGAAAGACGGUUUUGCUGUCACUUAUAGAUGGAUCCGCGCCGCAUUAGCUAGUUGGUAAGGUAACGGCUUACCAAGGCAACGAUGCGUAGCCGACCUGAGAGGGUGAUCGGCCACACUGGAACUGAGACACGGUCCAGACUCCUACGGGAGGCAGCAGUAGGGAAUCUUCCGCAAUGGGCGAAAGCCUGACGGAGCAACGCCGCGUGAGUGAUGAAGGUCUUCGGAUCGUAAAACUCUGUUAUUAGGGAAGAACAAAUGUGUAAGUAACUAUGCACGUCUUGACGGUACCUAAUCAGAAAGCCACGGCUAACUACGUG